Molecule: long non-coding RNA, 756 nt
Filed under: Physcomitrium patens
Lineage: Eukaryota; Viridiplantae; Streptophyta; Bryopsida; Funariales; Funariaceae
Description: long non-coding RNA (PPAT_LNC002147)
Source: RNAcentral
UGAACAUUAUAACCAUUGCCACGAAUUUGGCAUACCACAGCUUUUGAGUCACAGUGGAACUGGCCCUCAUUUGUUAACUAACAACACUCCAUCAAAAUAGUUAGUAGUUCCCUUCUAGCGUCACUCAGGUCGCUGAUGUGAUGAGGCGAGCCCACAACAAGCUGAGGAGAGUGCAGGGAUCUUGGCGACGACCUUCGGGGUCCCCGGUUCGAAUCCGAUAAACAGAGUUUGUGGCAAACCUACACGGCGUACCUUCGUCUAUGUUUCCAUCCUAAAAGUUCUGGAUAUAUCCGGUUCAAAACAUAAUCUUUGGGCCGCGACAGCCGCUCCGCCAUGUGCCUUCGGGGCACGAAACGACAUGCUACGGGGAGAGAAGAAAGUCGACCUCCAUGUAGAGUGCCCGAUAACUAUAAAGAAAGCGGGGGUUGUAACCUUGGGAAACUAAAAGUACCCUACAAUCGCUAUGCUCUGUUCAUGGAAUCCACCGUCCAUGGUUGACCAAAGGCAGCAACCGCAGUGCCGUGAACCGACCACCACAUAGAAUGAGUAUUCUAUAAUACAUAAUAUUGGACCUACCGACUGAUUAGCCUGAUUACAAUCUGGUGGUGCAGAAAUCCUGUCAGGACAGGUCCUUCACCUAUUAGUUAUCCACGUCACUAUGUGUCUGCCGAGGACAUCGGUCUCAUCUUCUCUACAGGUGGUCAAUGACAACGAGUAAGCUGAAGACACUACCUCAUUCUCAGAAUUAACACUCAC